This is a non-coding RNA of Cinara cedri, 598 nucleotides long. NCBI's taxonomy places the organism in Eukaryota, Metazoa, Arthropoda, Insecta, Hemiptera, Aphididae. The record is from the annotation of a GenBank genome assembly.
GUUCUAGUCUGUAGUCACGUUUGUUACUAGUAAACUUAUUCCGGUUUUUACGUGUAGCAUCUUUUCUUAAAGCUCAAGUUGUCUAGAUUGUACUUUGACGAGGUCAUUUGUUUUAAUUUUUUAAAUAAAAGCACUUUUAUGGAAGAAAAAAAACGUAGGAAAACGUAAAAUUUCGCGAUUUCAUUAUUUUAUAAAAACGGCGUUUCCAAUCGGAAAUAAUGAUUUAAUCGAAAAAUCGCAAGACACCUUUUUUGUUGCCCUUUUGAUUUACAUUCUUAAUGGAACAUCGCCAAUACUUCUGAGCCGUUUUUGAACUUUUAAGGAAUUUUAAUUUUCGGCAGUUUUUUUGCUGUAAUUCGGUUAUAAAAAUACACGCAGAGACUUGAAACUUGGUAAAUAUACUCGUAUUGGAUUUACCUAGACGUGGUGAAAUUUUCAUAAAUCAUCGGACGAAUGGUUUUUUUCUUAAUAGACGUUUCGAAAUCAAAUUUAAACGAAAAUAGCAAAACAAAUUACGGCACUUCAAAUUAUGUAUCGUCGGAACGGCCUUUCGUCAAACAAUGGUUUAUCGUUGCUUACAGAUAUAAAUCUCAACCAA